This 520-nucleotide ribosomal RNA is filed under the name uncultured bacterium. Its description in RNAcentral is "bacterial SSU rRNA". It matches the Rfam family "Archaeal small subunit ribosomal RNA", at positions 345 to 866 of the family's 1478-position model. The record is from RNAcentral.
AACCUCCGCAAUGUGAGAAAUCGCGACGGGGGGAUCCCAAGUGCCAUUCUUAACGGGAUGGCUUUUCAUUAGUGUAAAAAGCUUUUGGAAUAAGAGCUGGGCAAGACCGGUGCCAGCCGCCGCGGUAACACCAGCAGCUCUAGUGGUAGCAAUUUUUAUUGGGCCUAAAGCGUCCGUAGCCGGUUUAAUAAGUCUCUGGUGAAAUCCUGUAGCUUAACUGUGGGAAUUGCUGGAGAUACUAUUAGACUUGAGACCGGGAGAGGUUAGAGGUACUCCCAGGGUAGAGGUGAAAUUCUGUAAUCCUGGGAGGACCGCCUGUUGCGAAGGCGUCUAACUGGAACGGUUCUGACGGUGAGGGACGAAAGUUAGGGGCGCGAACCGGAUUAGAUACCCGGGUAGUCCUAACUGUAAACGAUGCGGACUUGGUGUUGGGGUGGCUUUGAGCUGCUCCAGUGCCGAAGGGAAGCUGUUAAGUCCGCCGCCUGGGAGUACGGUCGCAAGACUGAAACUUAAAGGAAUU